Pongo abelii (Sumatran orangutan) is the source of this 148-nucleotide unclassified non-coding RNA. It matches the Rfam family "Metazoan signal recognition particle RNA". From Rfam's summary of the family: The signal recognition particle (SRP) is a universally conserved ribonucleoprotein. The record is from Ensembl. Lineage: Eukaryota; Metazoa; Chordata; Mammalia; Primates; Hominidae.
GCCGGGUGUGGUGGUGCAUACCUGUAGUCCCAGCUACUUGGGAGGCCGAGGCAGGAGAAUCACUUGAACCCAGGAGGUGGAGGUUGCAGUGAGGCGAGAUUGUAACAUUGCACUCCAGCCUGGGUGACAAAGUGAGACUAUGUCUCAA